GGUACCUCCGGGCCAGCGGCGGGGGGAAGACGGAGGGUCCAAGGGUUAUCCGGAAUUAUGGGGUGUAAAGGGUUCGUAGGCGGCCUUAUAAGUCAGCGGUGAAAGUUUUUGGCUUAACCAAAAAAAUGCCAUUGAUACUGUAGGGCUUGAAUAUGUGUGAAGGAACUAGAAUAUGUAGUGUAGCGGUGAAAUGCUUAGAUAUUACAUGGAAUACCAAUUGCGAAGGCAGGUUACUAACAAAUGAUUGACGCUGAUGGACGAAAGCGUGGGUAGCGAACAGGAUUAGAUACCCUGGUAGUC
This 300-nucleotide ribosomal RNA is filed under the name uncultured Methanosaeta sp. RNAcentral describes it as "bacterial SSU rRNA". It matches the Rfam family "Bacterial small subunit ribosomal RNA", at positions 496 to 795 of the family's 1533-position model. Lineage: Archaea; Methanobacteriati; Methanobacteriota; Methanomicrobia; Methanotrichales; Methanotrichaceae. The record is from RNAcentral.